CCUUAAUUAAGCACAUAUCGAUGGGUAGCAUAACUCGACAGAACACCGGCCGUAUGUUUACAGCUGUUCCAACUAAUUCACUAACUGCCCUCUCUGAUGCGAACUGAGAGUGUCACACUAACCAGGCAGCAGAUGGGGCUUUGUUGCCUCCUGGAUUUGGGCUGAAUUCAGUCUUGGAUGUGUCCAAGUUCUUUGCUUUUGGAGGACUCUACUUGAGCUUCACUUACUAAUGAAAUGCAGCAGCUUCACUGUAAAAGACUAAAAUGGACGUCCUAAGAGUUGUUUCCACAUGGUGUCCAACUCCCCCACCCACCAGUGGUCUGUUCGAUUAUGCCUGUCUGAAGUUUGGCAGACACCUGUGUUUGGACAUGGCCUCAAAAAGGUGUCAAGAGUUGGGUGGAAAAGAAAAAAAAAGAAAAGACCAGUGAGAUUCUAAUGUGUCGCUUGCAGACGCUGAUGGUCGUUCUUACCCUCCUCCUUCCCCACCGCCUCCAGGUUGGUCCCGUUCGGCUGCCAGGGGGUUGGCUCCGCCCUGUCUUCAAUGUACGACAGGAUCUGCAGAGCCCAGAUGUAUCAAGUCCUGGGCCGAUGACGGGGCCUACGCCAAAGACUCUACUAGACGAAACUGUGUCUAUAUAACUUUCUUGAAAACAUACAUGUACUUUGUUUUGCUAAAAAUUGUUCAAACAUUAAAUGGUUCAACUAACAAAUUUGCUUCCGGAGUCGUAAUAGUAGAACUAAUGCUCUAAGAACAUUAAUUGUAGCAUUCAGAAAAUGUUCAUAUAACCAAAAACUGUUCGCUGGAAUGGUGGAGGCUUUAUACUUCUCUAAACUUAGCACUAAACCUGGUAUUAGACAUGGCGCCAAUAGGGCCAGUAUGUUCAGACUGCCAGCCCAAAUUGCCCUGAUUUUUGGCAUAUCUAGAUUGUAUCCAAAUUUAUUCAGUUUAUUUUUUUUUGGACAGCCAGAAACCGCAUUAAAUCAAUUCAGAUCCAAACUAUAUUUGGAGGUGGUUUGAAAUCCAAGAUUUUUUAACAUGUUUUUUUUAUGUUAUUCUUCAAAUGCAGAAGUUACGGAAGUGCUGAGGUCCAAGAAGAGUGUCAAAGGAUGGUUACAUUUGGACAUAUCAACCAAUCUAGUAUUACCCACCUUCAAGGAAUUCUUAAUUUGUUAGACAAAUGCCUUCAAAUAACUGCCUUAUGAGACAUCAGACAUUUGGAGUCAGCACACCUUAGUCAUCCUCAAAUAACAUACAACUCAGUGCAGUUUAAUCACAGGGUGACCAGCUAAGCGUCUCUCUCAGAAAGUAGCAUUUACAAAAAGUGGCAUUUGGGCAAAUUGGCGGCUGAUGUAGAUCUUGAAAGCUCUCCUCCAGUGACCGCGACGGUCAUUCUUUCCUGCCAUUUUGCAGAGAAUUUUCUUCUCAGCUUGCUUUCUUGCAAGGACGUGACGUACGGUAGGUUGGAGGCUGUAGCGGGCUAGCUCUUUCUGACUCCCACUGCGCUGUAAUGGAGCUUUUCCCUGCAGCUACUGCCUGAACAGCCGAGCUUCAAGAGCUUCGGUGUUAUGCAGGCAGCAACCCGAGGAGCCUGUAGCACUGACUGUAAAUGCUCGCUCCAGUUCUGUGUGUAGAGACUGGUUUGAUACUCUGUGACAGAUCGCUUGGCACUCGUCUUUCUCUCCUCUGGUAGUCAAUCUCGAGUAAUCCUUCCACCUCUUCUUAGGUAUCAACCAAAGGCUUCCACCGUAGGCUUCCAUUUGCGCACCUCUGGACUCUAACAAAGGCCUGCCUGCAGAUUUCUCCCGGCAAAGUUAUCAGAUGAAAAUCACAUGUGGACAUGCUGAGUAUUUAAUCCUAGUAAGUAUUACAGCGAGUGCUGCCAACGAUUCAUUCCAGGCUUACCCACCAAAAACUGCUCCAAGCGAAAUUGAAAAUGCCCCAACUGUUAGCUAAGCUCUCGGCCAACUGCUUGGACUCUUUCUGCCC
Astyanax mexicanus (Mexican tetra) is the source of this 1987-nucleotide long non-coding RNA. RefSeq lists it as uncharacterized. Lineage: Eukaryota; Metazoa; Chordata; Actinopteri; Characiformes; Acestrorhamphidae. The record is from RefSeq and is a predicted model, not a curated record. The transcript is spliced from 4 exons.